CCUCACUCGUUCUCUUCUUCCCCACCCGCACCCGAGCUCCUGUCGCCAUGGACGACCUUGUCGUCGCGGCCAUCAUGCUCCCCGUCGCGUGAGAGGACGUCUAGGAGGUCCGCCGCGAUCGGAUCCGUCCGUUCUGGGAACCUGCUCAAGCCGGGACGGCCCGUACACUCGCCAUCGCCGCCAUCUUCGCCCACGGCCGCCACGUCUCGCCGUCACGUUCGUCGCAUCCCGGCCGCCCCGUGCCUUUGGGCCAUGUCCACGAGCCUCCUGGUGAGCUCCUCUGCCGAUUCCCCUGGUUCCCGUGCUCGAUUCGUCGCCGUAGUUGCCAUCCCGAACUCGUCCGAAUGUACGCGUACGCAUAUGUACGUGCUUGUGUGUGUGUGUGCGUGUGGCCUUGCCGUUGCCUACUGCUGGAGCCGCCCGCACGCUGCCCCCUGGCCGCGCCCAGGCGCUCGCUCGCUGUCCCCGUGUUGGCCGCUGUCGCUGCUUGGCACGCGCCUCUACUAGCUGAUGUCGUUCGCUGUUGCUUGCUCUGCUUGCUGUUGCCCGGUGCGCUCCCGCGUUUGUCCCUGUGCUGUGUUGCUGCUGUGCCUAGGCCACCCCGCUGUGUCGCCACGCGUGCGUGCGCGUCGUCCUUGCUCUGUUGCUCUUUCUAAGCUAUUGUCCACUGCAGCUACUUCUUGUCGCUGUUGCAGCCCCGCCGCUACCUCCUGCUCUGCUGCACGCCCUUGGCCACUCCGGCCUCGCUCGCCGCUGCUGCUUUUAUGCCUACAUGUUUGCCGCUAUACACUGAUGUUAGCUACCGCUGCCCAGUCCACUGCACUACUGUUUUGCAAGUAGUUGCUGCUAGAGAUGGCCAUGGCAAAGGCCACGGGCGUACGUGCCUGUGAGUGUGGAGCGUGAGCGUGUGUGUGCUUUUGAGUGAGAGCGUGAGCGUGUGAGCCGUGUGUGUAGCUUAGUGGGUUAGUAGUAAUUAAUAAUUAGUUAACUAGUUAGUUUAACUAAUAGCCUAUGUCAAGUGGAGCCUCGGCUAAGUUAAUUUAAUUAAGUAGCAUAGAUUAGUUGCUGCCUAUGACAUGUGGGCCACACCCAUGCCAUUUGACUAGUAAGUUGACUUGGUCAAACUCGUUUUAAACGAUUUUAGAAAAUCAAAUAAGCUUCAGAAAAUCAUAUCUAAUUCAUACAAACUCGAACGAAAAUAAUUUAUAUAUAAAAGAUGAUCAGAAAAAUAUAACAAAUCUGAAUAUGCCAUCCAUAUACCUUCCACACCUCUCUAACAUGAUGCACAUGAACAUUUUGCAUCAGGAUCGUCUGUCCGAAAAUUACCUGGGGCCGGGGAAAUAUUGCGGGAUAUUUUGCCUCUUCUUUUAAAAUGCUUAAGGAUGCAUUAGAGCAUGUCACCCACACAUCUCGUCAUGCCAUUGCAUUUGUGUUGCAUUUAAUUGUUGUGUUAUUUAUUGUGUUUCCCCUCCAUUACUUUCUUUCCGGUAGACCCCGAGACCGAUGAUGAUCCGGUGAUCGACUACUUCCCGGUCGAGGAUCCGUAUUUGUCUACAGAGCAGCAAGGCAAGCAAACCCCCCUUGAUCAUUCCUAUAUUUCCUAUGUCUUUCUUCCUACUGCUUGCAUUAGUAUUUUGCUACUCUUCUAGUUAGCUCCUAUAUCUGAUGCAUAUAUAGCCUAUUUUUGAUGAACUGCUACUUUCAGUCAUGUACCUUUAAUAUGCUUAGUAUAGGUGGAGCAGUCAUCCCAUCUGACCCCGUAGUCCAGUUGCCCCGCUUGUUUUCAAAUCUCGAUCCCUGAUCGACGAGACAGACCCGACACCUCACACACAAGCCCCUUAGUUGUACGACGCUAUAGGGAUACUAUCGGGUACCGAGGGUGACAUCUCGCUAAGUACUCCUGAUGAUAUCUCUGUAGUAUAACUAGUCGGUCGUGGUUGUCGAGGGUGAUUCCUCUUUCACCAUUCUCGACGAUGCCUCUGUCGUACAACCCAUCAAUUGUGGGACCCCCGAGGGUGAUUCCUCUAAGCCCACCUUGACGGAUACAUCGUUCGAAAUCCAGCGAGGGUGAUACCUUGGAUUCCCCCCGAUAUUACAACCACACAGUUACUCGACCAUGUUACUGGGAUCAUUGGUGAUUAGUUGUUAAGACGGGUGGAUUCCCGCGAGACUGUGUUGGUGGCCUAAUUAAAAUGUUAAUGGAUUUGGGUAUUUGAUCUGGGUUGGUUGGAGACCUUUUCGCACUAACCGGCUACGCGGGAAGAAUUAUGGGUACUCGGCGUCGCGGUAUCAACCGAAGGUUUUUAGAUGUCAGCAAUGUAGCGGCGCUCGCCCGAGUGGUCCCGAGAUGCAUCGCGCUUGUGAUUAAGGGAUGCUAGGACUGACGUUGGCCGCCCACGCCAUGUGCAGGAGCGCGAAGGGGAACUGGGCCCACGAACCCUUUGUGCUUAGGAGUUAGAUCGGCGGGCUGGCCUCUCUGAUUAGUCUUAAGUGGGGCUGCGACGUGUCGAUAUUCUGAGGCCGGGCAGGACCCAGAAAAGUGUGUCUGGCCAGAGUGUUAUCGAGCGUUACGGUACAUGUGGUGCACCCCUGCAGGGAUGAAAAUUAACUAUCCGAAUAGCCGUGUCCACGGUUACAGGACGACUUGGAGUUGUGCCCUGAUCUUAUACAACUACAAUUGUUACUUAACUGGAAUUAGUUUGCCUCGGGAUUGCUUCCUCGCAGGGAGUCGAGGGAGGAUCUUUGGGCGUGACCUCACUUUAAUAUUGCUGCAACAAUAUGACUAUUAAUGUUUUACACCUGGUCUAUUCUCGUCUUUUGCUGCAAGACCCUGAAGAUGCUAGUCUUCGAUAGGACUAGGCCUUCUCUCUAUUCUUGCAUUACUGCAGUCAGUCCACAUAUAAAACCCCUUCUUUGAUACUGGUGCAUAUUUAGCAUAGUUCUGAUGUAAGUCUUGCGAGUACUUUGGAUGAGUACUCACCGUUGCUUUGCUCCCCCUUUGUCCCCUUGAUCCGUUGCUGCGACCAGAUGAUGGAGCCCAGGAGAUGGAGUUUCCUGCGGACGCCGGUCGCCCUGUUGGUGUCUUCUUUGUGGAGGUUGAUGAAGAUAGGAGUAGUUAGGAGGUUCCCAGGAAGGAGGCCUCGCCUCGUUCGAUCGUCUUUCUUUUGUGCUAGCCUUCUCUAAGGUACCCCAUGCUUUAUGUUUGUACUCAGAUUAUGUUGCUUCCGCUGGCUCGUGCGCUUAUCGAGCUUCUGUAUUCUAGCACUCGAGGCCCUUGGCUUGUAAUAUGAAGCUUGUAUUAUUUUAUUUGUGUCUAGAGUUGUGUUGUGAUAUCUUCCCGUGAGUCCUUGGGUUUGAUCGUACGCAUUUGCGUGUAUGAUUAGCGUACGAUUAAACCGAGGGCGUCACAAGUUGGUAUCAGAGCCGACUGCAUGUAGGUAGCACCCUUUCCAACUCCUUGGCCAAAGUUGAGUCUAGUGUUUGAAAAACUUUACUAACACUGAUGUUGUGGCUUACGGGCCCACAUCUCAAUUGAGUGGUAUUAGCAUCUUUUACUCCUUUCCUAUACUCUGGGUUCUACUCUCUCUUCUCUUUCGGGAUAAAGAUUUUGCUAACUCUAACAUUAUGUUCUCGUAAAUACUGCCUCCCAGAGAGCCCUGUAUUCCAGACGAUGGCUUUAUCCCUCAGAAGAACUGCAGUUACUCUUCGAUGUCCUCUUGAGCUGUUGUGCUCAUUGCUUCUGCAAUUUUUCCCCGUUCAUACUUUCUUCUCCAAUUGCUCUUGUUUUACGAGAUGAAACGAAUUAUUUUAUAGGGUAUUCGCCCAUCAUCAGUUGUCAUGGGUUUCGAAAGUUCUUCGACUUACUAUUCAGUCUUCCUAAAUCCUCUGUAGCGUAAAGUUCAUGACCUUUCUCACCUACUUGCAUUAUGGUUAAAUCCAUAUGUCUAGGAGCAUUCAUUAAAAUCCUAUGUGAUUUUCCUGUGAUCUUAUUGAUUCUAACUUUGUGUGAAUGCACACAAUCAUCUGUGGUGACUCAUAAAUUAUCUGCCGGCUCAGACGUCCUUCCAGACCGAGCAGGUCCUCGACAAAUCAAUUUUUGGUUGGUUGUCCAUCUAAGUCCAUUCAACCUACUUGUAUUUGAUCGGAGCAUCUGAUUAUGAUACACGAAUCUGGAAAUCUUAUUUCCUUUGGUAACUAAGUAUUGAUAUGUUUCAGAUGUUCUAUAACCCGAUGCAUUGCGUCCUAUCUCCCUCUCAUUGAGUACCGAUACUCACAUUAGAUCAUUUGUGGAUUGCCAGACUCAUUCCGAGUUAUUAUCCGACGGCAUCCUUUGUUUUAGAAAAUUCUUGUGAUUGCUUCCCCUGACACAUGAUGCCAUUGGUAAAUUGUGUCUUCUCCCAUUGAUAAGUUGUACCAUACGAUUUGUCAGUCAUGCCCUUCAAGCAUGUAAUUUAAUUACUCUUGAAGUUUGUGGUAUAUGUUCCUAAGAUGCCCCGAUGGGUUGAACCUAUGCCUUCCUAAAUCAAUAUGACCCGAAGAUUUUUCUCGAGUCUUACUCUUUUGGUGUUAUGCCGGUUAUUCUUUCAAAGCUACAACCGAUCAAAGGCGAGGAAUAAAUGGCAGGUGAUGCAUUGAUGAAGUGGGAGUCGACCUUGAACUUUGAGCUCAUGCCCAUGGAAACCACGUUGAUCCUAUCAUAGAAACUUCUCGUAUCAAUAUUCAUUCAUUCUGCGGUUUAAAUCUGGUAUAUGUGAUCUUGUCCUUUGCAAUCAUGGUUCCGACCAUGUUUUCCUACCUUGAUUUCAUUCUCAGACGAGUUAAAGUACUUGUCUUCUUCAGAUAAACACAUCAGUCCAAACCAUAAAGUUGAUCUACCUCCGAGUAUUAUUCCUUGUAUCUCGAGGAUAACGCGGAGCUAUGAAACUUCUUGUGAGCUCCUUAUCAACUAUGAUUUUUUCCUUAAUUCAAGUUGCCCCGCGUUUGAGUUGUUGGACACGUGGGUACAUCGAUAACUGAAUCGUGUAUGCAUUGCGAUUCAACAACUUUUAGCAAUCUUCCUUGUUUACGAGUUUGUACUCGAUCAUGUCAUUCCAAGCUGUUAAGCUACAUCAUCAUCGUCAUGUUGGAGCUCCACCAUGCUAUCUAUACCCUUGUCCCUGUAGCACAAUUCCAACUGUGCAUUAAGCUUGCAUCGAGCUUUCCACAUCAUGUUGGUGGUCCUGAAAGGCAAUCUCAAUUCUAAGCUAGCAGUCUUAACGGUUUUUCCGGCAACCUGUGGCUUCACCAUUCCCUUGCUUGAUGUCGAUGCUGAAUGAAUACAUCUUCGUGAAGCUUCUCGACAAAUGUGUCGUGAUCACCAUCAGCAUUCUGAGCUCUUGUUGGGUAUCGACCGAAUGCAUGAUGAGAAAUACCAUCCUUGCCCCUUGAUGAUAUGUGAUAUCGUCGACAACCUUCUUGCCUUCCCUCCUACACAAACGUGUUCAUGUUUUGUGUUGUCCUUCGAGUUCCUUGCUAAUUCAGCUUAUGUCACCUUCUACCUUGGAGUAUUACUAUCUUUUCUGUCAAGAAUGUUGUGAGCAUCAUUGCACCUCUUAAGAAUCCUUGACAUAGUAAUACUUCUCGCCAUCACCAUUCAUUUCUUGGUCCCGUGUUGUUUCUAACUGGUAUACCGACAAGUGAACUCUGAUGUGUGAUUCCAAUACUUCUGGCAACCCUAUUGCCUUGAGGUUAACAACUGAUUGUUUCAAUUUUAGUGUGUUGGGUGAUGACUCAUCAUUUUUGACAUUGGUUGUGCUACUCCGUCCGUAUUCCCUGGUGCAUCCUUUGACCAAUGUUUAAUUGUUGUUGAUCCCUCGAACAUGCGACAUUAUACCAUUUGACUUGACAAAUGCUAUCUCCUUGACAUUAUAAUUUUGGAAAUUCGUCCAUGUCAAAAUCUUGAGGGAUUGUUGCUGAGCCCAUCAGCCCCACCCUCAACUUAUCCAUGUUCCACGAUGAAGCACUUGCAAGCAUUAUUCUUGUGCCUAGCUCAUGGAGAAUAUGUUGGAUAGAAGGAGUGCGUUUUUCCAAGGUUCACGUGCACUCUUUCCGCCGUGAAUAUGUGAAAGUUUUGUUUCGCUUCCCCUCGGGAAAUACCAAAUCAUUCACCCAUGUGUGAAGUGUUAUAUGUUUUGAAGAUUUGUUAUCUUCACUUCAUAUAACUUCUCUUAGCACGCCAAUCCACUGACUGAUUUGAUCAAGGGAAAAAAAGUUCUGUCAUAAGAGCUAAUCGAGGCUUACGCAAGGGCCUUGAUAUCCUCGAUGAUGGUUCUCAAAUCAGAACUCAGUUGCAUUGUGAUGUAAAAAUUCCACGUGGGCACGAAUGUAUUGACAUUGUGUUCAUGUGUCUUACAAUCUAACUCAUGAUCCAAAACUUGCUUCCGUGGAUCAUAUCUCGCUGAUAUUGCAGUAUCAUCUCGUAUGUUUUUGGUGGCCCCAUUUUCUUCUCAGGCACCCUGAGACUGAGGUGUCCCUACACCUAUCAGAUAUGAAUCUCGGGCAGAUAAGAUGGUUGGAACAUUUUCCCAAUAAUUAUAACUUUGGUGUUUAUGUAACCGGUACAGUGAUAUCUUGUCUGGAACACAGGGCCGAAGGGCCUAUUGUUAUAAAUUCUGCCAUACUUAAGGUUAGACAUUGUACCAUGCAGAAACUAAAUGGCUUAUCUUAUAAGUUGUUUUUGAUGAAUCCUUUGUGUAACCAAGUCCAACCUUUAUCUGGUGACCAUGUCCAUGCUACCCCGAAGCAUGGAUGUGGUACUUCAAAUUUCAACAGGAACAUUGGAAGCGCAAUGCUAAAUUGUUCUUCCUCAAUUAUCCAGACCACGUGGUAUCUGUAAACAUCUUGAUUCUUCUUGCCUCUUUGUCAAAAUGGUUAUGUACUUAAUGACCUAUCAUGUAUACCAUACUCUAUGUUUUCCUCGGGAAUGGUAUACUUUAAUACUUGUGUGUGUGAACACAUUUUCCUUACCAUUGGUCUGUUUGACCUUUCUUGUGGCAUAACUUAUCUAAGCAGUGUUAAUUCCCUGCUUAGGUAAAAUUCUCGGUAUACAACUCUCCCAGUAAGACCCUGUUACUAUUGUGGUAGUCGCCGGUGGACGAGGACCUUGCCUAUUGGUCCGCCUCGUUUCAACGAGCAGGAAAAUGGUUCUAUUCGUCCCCCGCCCUUGGUACCGAGGUUGUUGCCUACAUAACUAGAAGGUUAUCAUCUGGCAUGUCUUGCUACCAAGACCGUAUAAGAUGUCGCCGCUCUACCUACUGUUGGCCCACAUGAUUGACCCAUAACCCAAAGUUCCACAGGAUUGAAACCUGACUCUCUUGUACAUCUUUGACUCCAAAGUAUCCUUUACACUUGACUUCAGGUGAAAUUCCGAGCCACCGUCCAAUGCGAUGAUCUAUUCUUGUAUCGGGCAUAAUACUUAUUUUUUGUUGUUACUCUAAAUCCUCCUUUCAUCUUUGUUUAGGCUUCAAAUGAUUGCCUGAUCGUUUGAAACCUUUGUACCAUCGCUUGUUACUCUCAAUGAAUUCCGUGAGUCACAACUUGACAAAUAAUUCAUGUACUCUUUCAUGAGUUUACUGUUAGAUGCCCUACUUUUUGUAGCUACGUUCUUUGACAAUUUCCACUAUGAUCGCAAUUCGUAGGACGGGGAUGAUCUUGAAGAAAGGAUGACGACUCCAUCAAGUUGACCUGAAACAAAGUAAUGAAUAUGUCAACAAGAAGGAGAAAUCUCUUCGAAGAGAGCAGUGAAGACAAGAAGACUCGUUAGAAUUUCGUAACCAAACGUUUCCCCCUUAUGCCUACCUUUGAAUUCUCGGGACGAGAAUUUCUUUUAGUGGGGAAGAGUUGUGACAUCCCCGGAUUAUGCUGUUGAAUCUUUGUAAUUAAGCUACAGUAACCUCACUCUAAUGUGCCAUGCCAUCAUGCUUUAUUAAGCCAUUUUGCCACUUAAUAAAAUCAAAACCAAAAAAAUCAAAUUAAAAUCAAGUCAAGUAAAUUAUUUCUUCAAACUCAAAAUAAAAAUGUUGGCCCAAUUGCAAAUAUUCACCUAGAAAUUAUCGAAUAAGAACAAAACUCAUUUGAAACUUCAGAGAUGCCCUUAUCUAUUUUUGAACUGGAUCAACAUCACUCAAGUGAACCAUUUAAAAUUCAAGCCCCAUUUAAAUUAUUUCCUAAUGGCCUCAAACUUUGUGUGCCUUUCCAAAAUAUUCCAUAGUAUUUAUGUGUGGAGUUUCAUGUGCAAUAAAAAUCAUUUACUAGCUUUAAUACAUACAAACCGGAAAAAAAUAGAAUGGAAAAAUGAAACGAAGAAACAAAGUAUAGCACUAUGCAUUUCAGGCCUCCUGCUACAGUAGAAGGCCCAGCCCUCCAUGGGCCUUCUCCUACCUCUCUGUACGGAGGAGAAGCACAGCCAUGACCUGGGCACGGCCACGUCCGUCCACGCGCCCGCUGUCGUCGUGUCAACCAUCUAGCGAGCCCCCGCGACGUAUAAGGUUCUUCCCGACGCGUGAGACAAACCCUAGCUGCCAUAUCCCCUCUCCCUCACUCGUUCUCUUCUUCCCCACCCACACCCGAGCUCCUAUCGCCAUGGACGACCUUGUCGUCGCGGCCAUCAUUAUCCCCGUCGCGUGAGAGGAUGUAUAGGAGGUCCGCGCGAUCGGAUCCGUCUGUUCCGGGGACCUGCUCAAGCCAGGACGGUCCGUACGCUCGCCAUCGCCGCCAUCAUCGCCCACGGCCGCCACGUCUCGCCGUCAAGUUCGUCACAUCCCGGCCACCCCGUGCCUUUGGGCCAUGUCCACGAGCCUCCUGGUGAGCUCCUCUGUCGAUUCCUCUUGUUCCCGUGCUCGAUUCGUUGUCGUAGUUGCCAUCCCGAACUCGUCUGAAUGUACGCGUACGCGUAUGUACGUGCUUGUGUGUGUGUCUGCGUGUGGCCUUGCCGUUGCCUGCCGCUGUAGCCACCCGCACGCUGCUCCCUGGCCGCGCCCAGGUGCUCGCUCGCUGUCCCCGUGCUGGCCGCUGUCGCUGCUUGGCACGCGCCUCUACUAGCUGAUGUUGUUCGCUGUUGCUUGCUCUGCUUGCUUGUAGAAGUUAAUCAUGUUGUUUCUUUAGGAUUAGGAAAGAAAGCCAAACUGAGUCCUAGUAGUAUUAGGAUUACUAGUCCUAGUCUAUUUCACUAGUCCCUUCUGGACGUGUAUAAAAGACACCCUAGGGGUGUUGGUUGUAAAACCAGAAAAACGAAAAGCAAUACAAAGCAAAGGCUCGACACGGGCCUUUAGCCAUCAAAUCCAUCGGUCAGUUUUAUUCCUGUCGCUAGUUACGCAAGUUCCGUCAAGUAGCCAGCCGAAGCAAGAAUCACGUAGGCACGCCUGUACAGCUGCAUACGCACGGUCAAAAGCCAAUAAUUGGUAUCUAGAGCCUCGACGAUCUACGAUCUACGAUGACGGACAGCGACGCUGAGUCGGUCAAGUCCGGCAGCGGCGGUGCCAAGGCGAACAAGAACGGCGACAAGGUGAAGAAGGACGUCAAGUCAGCAACCAGAGGUGGAGGAACGAGCGGCGCCAACGUCCACGCGCAUCGCAACAUCCCCAUCCAGUACCCGAUGCUCACCGACGCCAACUACGGCGUGUGGGCGGUGAAGAUGAAGAUUAUUCUUUGAUCCCUUCGAGUGUGGGAGGCCAUCACGGACGACGACGUCGACGAGGAGCGCGACGAAGGUGCCAUGGCCGCCAUAGCCUAGUCUGUGCCGGAUUCCGUGCUGGUGACAUUGGUGGAGUUCGAGACAGCAAGAGAGGUGUGGAACGCACUCAAGGAGAUGAGGAUCGGAGAAGAUCGCGUCACCAAGGCUCGGGCACAAGUGCUGAAGCGCCAAUUUCACAAGUUGCAGAUGGAGGAAACUAAAUCGGUGAAUGACUACGCCAUGCGUCUUACUACUUUGGUGGGAGAGAUUCACGCGCUUGGUGCAAAGCUCGAUGAGACCGAGAUCGUGGAGAAGUUUUUUAGUUCAGUCACUGAUAAAUUCACGUACAUCAUCGGCAUGCUCGAGCAGCUUUACGACAUCGACGACAUGACCAUAACGGAGGCGAUCGGACGAUUGCGGACAUGGGAAGAGAAUGCUCGUGGCUGUCGUAAAGGCAAAGGAAGAGGUAGUGACCAACUCAUGUACUCGCGCGCAGAUUGGGAGGCCCCAAGUAGCAAAGGAAGGCGUGACGAUGGCGAAGGCUCAAGCAACACGAAGGGCGAUGGACAAACCGGAAAAGGCAAAGGAAAAGGCAAACCACAAGGUCGUGGUAAGGCGGGCCAAUCUAAAGAGCAGAAACCACGGAACUUGGACUUGUCCGAGGUCAAGUGCUAUAACUGCAAUAGGAUGGGUCACUUUGCGAAGGAUUGUCCAAAGCCUAACAAGCGGGAGAUCAUGGCAAAUUUGGCAAAGCAGGAAGACAAAGGUCCAGGUCUUCUGAUGGCCGAAGUUUGUGAUCUCGCUGAAACGAUGGUUGUGAAACCAAGCCGGAAGGUGCUACUUCAUGAGGAAAAAGUGACACUAAAGUUAUCCGGUGAUCAGAACGUGUCGUGGUAUCUCGACACGGGUGCCAGUAACCACAUGAUGGGGUGCAAGGAGAAAUUUCUCGAGCUAGAAUACGAUGUUGAAGGCUCGGUCAAGUUCGGUGAUGGUUCAGCUGUGGAGAUUUGCGGGCAAGGUUAUGUCCUCUUCGAGGGUCUCACAGGCGAACAUCGCAUACUCACCGGAGUGUACUACAUCCCACGGCUGCGCAACAACAUCAUGUCUAUUGGGAAGCUUGACGAGAAUGGAUGCAAGGUGAAUAUAGAGAGCGGAGUGAUGACGAUCUUCAACAACCUCCGAAACAUGCUAGCUCAUGUUAAUCGCACACGGAAUAGGCUCUAUAUCCUCAACCUCGAUCAAUCUCAACCGGAGUGUUGGCUUGCCAAGAGUGAUGAUGAUUCCUGGUUAUGGCAUGCUAGAUUUGGACACGUUAACUUCUACGCCUUGAAGAAAAUGUCAAAGAUGGAGAUGGUAUCCGGGAUGCCAGUUAUCGACAAUGUUGAUCGAGUAUGCGACGGGUGCUUGGUUGGAAAACAGCACCGCGGGCCAUUCCCUGCUCACUCUACCUAUCGUGCAAGUGAUGCACUCGAGCUGCUCCAUGGUGAUCUAUGUGGCCCUAUCACCCCGGUAACUCAUGCUGGAAAGAAGUAUUUCUUCAUUGUGGUAGACGACUACUCGAGAUAUAUGUGGGUCAUUCUCCUACGAUCUAAAGAUGAGGCAUUUGAAGCGUUCAAGAAGUUGAAGGCUGCAACAGAGAUGGAACACAAGCUGAAGGUUCGCGCUCUACGGACAGAUCGCGGCGGAGAGUUUACGUCGAAUGAGUUCAACGACUACUGCGAGAAGAUUGGCAUAAAGAGGUUCCUCACGGCACCUUACACGCCGCAGCAUAAUGGGGUCGUUGAAAGGCGCAAUCGAACCGUCGUUGACAUGGCAAGGAGUUUACUCAAGAGCAAGAACCUGCUGGGGACUUUUUGGGGAGAAGCUGUCCAACGGCGGUCUAUCUUCUCAACCGGGCUCCAACGAAGGCGGUGGUCGGCAAGACUCCGUAUGAAGCAAUUUACGGACGUAACCCGAAUGUGUCUCAUCUACGGACGUUCGGGUGUGUGGCACAUGUGAAGACGGCGGAGCCGCAUCUCUCAAAGCUUACCGAUCGUAGCACCAAGAUGGUGUUCAUCGGAUACGAGAGAAGUUCCGGCACCAAGGCAUACCGCUUCUAUGAUCCACAAGCCAAGCGUCUACGGAUUUCACGCGACGUCGUGUUUGAAGAAAACCAAGCGUGGAAUUGCAGCGCCGUAGCCGACGAUGCUCCAAACAGUAACAUAUUUGCAGUUGAAUUUCCAACUAACGAUGAUGCAGGAGAAGAUGUCCAGGUGGUUGGCAAGACGCCGAACCAAGGUGGCCACAAUGGUAGUGAUCAUCAUGGUGCCGACACCGACGACGACGCGCAUAGGUCGCAAGGAGAUAGCGACAACGCCGCGCACGACACAGGCGGAGAUCUCGAUGACAACAUCGACAACGAGGCGCAUAGUGACGACGACAAUCAAGAUGAUGGUCACAGUCACGACGACUACGUCGACGACACUGAUGUCGAUAAUACACCAGUGUCUUAGCCGUCUUCCUCAAGUGCAUAACCACCGACACAAUUUGUGUCGCCUCCUUCGCAAGCCACAACGGACUCCUCAGGGCCUCGUCGCUACAAGACCCUCAAGAAAGUCUACAAGUACACAAAGCCAGUUACGCUCAAGUACUCCGGACUAUGUCCGUUCGGAGUUGAGGAGCCGGCGAACUUCGUAGAGGCGAGAAAAAGCCGUAUUUGGACGCACACCAUGGAUGAGGAGAUGAAGGCGAUUGAGAGCAAUGGCACGUGGACUUUGGUAACCUGACCUCCAAACCAAAAGACGAUAGGUUUGAAGUGGGUUUACAAGUUAAAGAAGGACACGGAGGGUGCCAUUGUGAAGUAAAAGGCAAGACUCGUUGCAAAGGGCUACGUACAACGUCAAGGAGUAGACUAUGAUGAGGUGUUUGCACUAGUUGCUCGAAUCGAGACGGUGAGAGUGCUCCUAGCUUUUGCAGCACAAGAGGAUUGGAAGGUUCAUCAUAUGGAUGUUAAAUCCGCUUUCCUCAACGGCGAUCUCACAAAAGAAGUGUACGUGGAACAACCCCUCGGCUACGAGAAGAAAGGCGAAGAAGGGAAAGUUUACAAGCUCAAGAAGGCACUUUACGAGUUGAAGCAAGCACCAAGAGUUUGGAACUCAAAGUUAGACCGGAGUUUGGUCUCGCUCGGGUUCAAGAGAUGUCCCCUCGAGCACGCAGUCUAUACAAAGAACUCCAAAGGCUCAAACCUGCUAGUUGGAGUUUAUGUCGAUGAUCUGAUUAUCACCGGAGAUAGCGUACGAGAAAUUGAACGUUUCAAGGUGCAAAUGAAGAACAAGUUUAGCAUGACCGAUCUGGGAUUACUCAGCUAUUACUUGGGCAUCGAAGUGAAGCAAAGCUCCGGAAAGAUUUCCCUAUGUCAAUCGGCUUAUGCGGUCAAGUUAUUGGAAAAGUGUGGCAUGUCAGAUUGCUGCGAGACACAAGUUCCAAUGGACCAACGUCACAAGUUGAGCAAGCGUAGCUCAAAUCCGCCGGUGGACACCACAAUGUAUCGAAGCGUUGUGGGCAGCCUAAGAUAUUUGGUGCAUACCUGACCUGACAUGGCUUAUUCAGUCGGGAUCGUGAGUCAUUUCAUGGAGAAUCCGACAACCGAGCACAUGAGUGCGGUCAAUCAUAUCUUGCGCUAUGUGAAAGGCACCAUUAAUCUUGGUUGCACGUACAGAAAGGGAAAGGAAGCAUUGAUCCUUCGUGGAUAUUCAGAUAGCGACAUGGCAGGUGAUGUUAAUGACUGAAAGAGCACAACGGGCAUGGUUUUCUACCUUGGCCCGAAUCCGAUUAGCUGGAAUUCUCAGAAGCAAAAGGUGGUGGCACUGUCUUCAUGCGAGGCAGAAUACAUAGCGGCAAGCACGGCGGCUUGUCAAGCAGUGUGGCUGAGAAGACUCCUAGCUAUUCUUGCAAAGCGGGAGGUGCAGAAGGUGUCACUGAAGAUCGAUAACCAAGCUGCAAUCUCGUUGUGCAAAAAAUCCGGUUCAACACGAAAGGAGCAAGCACAUAGAUACCCGGUUCCACAAUAUCCGGGAGUGCAUUGAAGAAGGGUUGAUCGAGGUUCAACAUGUGAACACGAAAGACCAACUUGCCGAUAUUUUCACCAAGUCCCUCGGUCGACAGAACUUCAUCGAGAUGAGGAGGAAAGUCGGAGUGCAAGAAGUGAAGUCAAGCAACAAGAUUAAGGAGGUGAAUGUAGAAGUUAAUCAUGUUGUUUCUUUAGGAUUAGGAAAGAAAGCCAAACCGAGUCCUAGUAGUAUUAAGAUUCCUAGUCCUAGUCUAUUUCACUAGUCCCUUGUGGACGUGUAUAAAAGACACCCUAGGGGUGUUGAUUGUAACACCAGAAAAACGAAAAGCAAUACAAAGCAAAGGCUCGACACGGGCCUUUAGCCAUCAAAUCCAUCGAUCAAUUUUAUUCGUGUCACUAGUUACGCAAGUUCCGUCAAGUAGCCGGCCGAAGCAAGAAUCACGUAGGCACGCCUGUACAGCUGCAUAUGCACGCUCAAAAGCCAACAUUGCUGUCGCCCGGUGCGCGCCCGCGUUUGUCUCUGCUGCUGUGUUGUUGUUGUGCCUAGGCCACCCUGCUGUGUCGCCGCGCAUGCGUGCGCGUCAUCCUUGCUCUGUUGCUCUUUCUGAGCUAUUGUCCACUGUAGCUACAUCUUGUCGCUGUUGCAGGCCCGCCGCUACCCCCUGCUAUGUUGCAUGCCCUUGGCCACUCUGGCCUCGCUCGCCACUGCUGCUUUUAUGCCUACAUGUUUGCCGCUAUACACUGUUGUUAGCUACCGCUUUCCAGGCCACAACACUGCUGUUUUGCAAGUAGUUGCUGCUAGCGAUGGCCAUGGCAAAGGCCACGGGCGUACGUGCCUGUGAGUGUGGAGCGUGAGUGAGAGCGUGAGUGUGUGAGCCGUGUGUAGCUUAGUGGGUUAGUAGUAAUUAAUAAUUAGUUUAACUAGUUAGUUUAACUAAUAGCCUAUGUCAAGUGGAGCCUCGGCUAAGUUAAUUUAAUUAAGUAGCAUAGUUUAGUUGCUGCCUAUGAUAUGUGGGCCACACCCAUCCCAUUUGACUAGUAAGUUGACAUGGUCAAACUCGUUUUAAAUGAUUUUAGAAAAUCAAAUAAGCUUCGGAAAAUCAUAUCUAAAUCAUACAAACUUGAACAAAAAUAAUUUAUAUAUAAAAGAUGAUCAGAAAAAUAUAACGAAUCUGAAUAUGCCAUCUAUAUACCUGCCACACCUCUCUAACAUGAUGCACAUGAACAUUUUGCAUUAGGAUCGUCUAUCCGAAAAUUACCUGGAGCCGGGAAUAUAUUGCGGGAUAUUUUGCCUCUUAUUUUAAAAUGCUUAAGGAUGCAUUAGAGCAUGUCACCUACACAUCUUGUUGUGCCAUUGCAUUUGUGUUGCAUUUAAUUGCUGUGUUAUUUAUUGUGUUUCCCCUCCAUUACUUUCUUUCCGGUAGACCCCGAGACCGAUGAUGAUCCGGUGAUCGAAUACUUCCUGGUCGAGGAUCCGUAUCUGUGUGCACAGCAGCAAGGCAAGCAAACCCCCCUUGAUCAUUCCUAUAUCGCCUAUGUCUUUCUUCCUACUGCUUGCAUUAGUAUUUUUCUACUGUUGUAGUUAGCUCCUAUAUCUGAUGCAUAUAUAGCCUAUUUUUGAUGAACAACUACUUUCAGUCCUGUACCUUUAAUAUGCUUAGUAUAGGUGGAGCAGUCAUCCCAUCUGACCCCGUAGUCUAGUUGCCUCGCUUGUUUUCAAAUCUCGAUCCCUGAUCGACGAAACACCUCACACACACACCCCUUAGUUGUACGACGCUACGGGGAUACUAUCGGGUACCGAGGGUGACACCUCGUUAAGUACUCAUGAUGAUAUCUCUGUAGUAUAGCUAGUCGGUCGUGGUUAUUGAGGGUGAUUCCUCUUUCAUCAUUCCCGACGAUGCCUCUCUCGUACAACCCCUCAAGUGUCAGAUGUCAGCAAUGUAGCGGCGCGCGCCCAAGUGGUCCCGAGAUGCAUCGCGCUUGUGAUUAAGGGAUGCUAGGAAUGACGUCGGCCGCCCACGCCACGUGCAGGAGCGCGAAGGGGAACUGGGCCCACGAACCCUUUGUGCUUAGGAGUUAGACCUGCGGGCUGGCCUCUCUGAUUAAUCAUAGGUGGGGCUGCGACGUGUCGAUAUUCCGAGGCCAGGCAGGACCCAGAAAAGUGUGUCCGGCCAGAGUGUUAUCGAGCGUGACGGGACAUGUGGUGCACCCCUGUAGGGAUGAAAAUUAACUAUUCUAAUAGCCGUGUCAACGGUUACAGGACGACUUGGAGUUGUGCCCUGAUCUUAUACAACUACAAUUGUUACUUAACUGGAAUUAGUUCGCCUCGGGAUUGCUUCCUCGCAGGGAGUCGAGGGAGGAUCUUUGGGCGUGACCUCACUUUAAUAUUGCUGCAACAAUUUGACUAUUAAUGUUUUACACCUGUUCUAUUCUCGUCUUUUGCUGCAAGACCCUGAAGAUGCUAGUCUUCGAUAGGACUAGGCCUUCUCUCUAUUCUUGCAUUGCUGCAGCCAGUCCACAUAUAAAACCCCUUCUUUGAUACUGGUGCAUAUUUAGCAUAGUUCUGAUGUAAGUCUUGUGAGUACUUUGGAUGAUUACUCACCGCUGCUUUGCUCCCCCUUUGUCCCCUUGAUCCGUUGUUGCGACCAGAUGAUGGAGCCCAGGAGAUGGAGUUUCCUGCCGACGCCUGUCGCCCCGUUGGUGUCUUCUUCGUGGAGGUUGAUGAAGAUAGGUGUAGUUAGGAGGUUCCCAGGCAGGAGGCCUCGCCUCGUUCAAUCGUCUUUCUUUUGUGCUAGCCUUCUCUAAGGCACCCCCAUGCUUUAUGUCUGUACUCAGAUAUUGUUGCUUUCGCUGACUCGUGUGCUUAUCGAGCUUCUGUAUUCUAGCCCUCGAGGCCCUUGGCUUGUAAUAUGAAGCUUGUAUUAUUUUAUUUGUGUCUAGAGUUGUGUUGUGAUAUCUUCCCGUGAGUCCUUGGGUUUGAUCGUACGCAUUUGCGUGUAUGAUUAGCGUACGAUUAAACCGAGGGCGUCACAAUGCAAGAAAGGAAUAAUAUUAGCUCAAGCUUCAAGCUAGAAGACUCUUCAUUUUAUAUUUAUGAGAACUCAGUUUUGAGACCAUAGUAAAGCCAAUACUAUAAAAAG
Molecule: long non-coding RNA, 16897 nt
Filed under: Hordeum vulgare
Lineage: Eukaryota; Viridiplantae; Streptophyta; Magnoliopsida; Poales; Poaceae
Description: long non-coding RNA (HVUL_LNC009753)
Source: RNAcentral